RNAcentral lists this ribosomal RNA (484 nucleotides) under uncultured bacterium. RNAcentral's name for it is "partial 16S ribosomal RNA". It matches the Rfam family "Bacterial small subunit ribosomal RNA", at positions 29 to 507 of the family's 1533-position model. The record is from RNAcentral.
AUUGAACGCUGGCGGCAUGCUUUACACAUGCAAGUCGAACGGCAGCGCGGGCUUCGGCCUGGCGGCGCGUGGCGCACGGGUGAGAAAAACAACGGAAUGUGCCCAGUUGUGGGGGAUAGCACGGCGAAAGCCGGAUUAAUACUACAUACGACCUGAGGGUGAAAGCGGGGGAUCUUCGGACCUUGCGCUAUUGUAGCGGUCGAUGCCCGGGUAGCUAGUUGGUGGGGUAAAGGCCUACCAAGGCGAGUAUCGGCAGCUGGACUGAUAGGGCGACCACCCGCACUGGAACUGAAACACGGCCCAGAGUCCUACGGGAGGCCGCAGUGGGGAAUUUUAGACAAUGGUCGAAAGCCUGAUACAGCAAGGCCGCGUGUGUGAUGAAGGCCUUCGGGUUGUAAAGCACUUUUGGCGGGAACGAAAAGGACUGUGCCAAUACCACGGUUCGAUGACGGUACCCGCAGAAGAAGCACCGGCUAACUACGUG